This 518-nucleotide ribosomal RNA is filed under the name uncultured archaeon. RNAcentral's name for it is "bacterial SSU rRNA". It matches the Rfam family "Archaeal small subunit ribosomal RNA", at positions 363 to 884 of the family's 1478-position model. The record is from RNAcentral.
AGAUGCGAUAGGGGANCCNAGUGCGCAGGCAUAGAGCCUGCGCUUUUCUGAACCCUAAGGAGGUACCAGAAUAAGGGCUGGGCAAGACCGGUGCCAGCCGCCGCGGUAAUACCGGCAGCCCGAGUGAUGGCCGAUCUUAUUGGGCCUAAAGCGUCCGUAGCUGGCCGCGCAAGUCCAUCGGAAAAUCCACCCGCUCAACGGGUGGCCGACCGGUGGAAACUGCACGGCUUGGGACCGGAAGGCGCGACGGGUACGUCCGGGGUAGGAGUGAAAUCCCGUAAUCCCGAACGGACCGCCGAUGGCGAAAGCACGUCGCGAAAACGGAUCCGACAGUGAGGGACGAAAGCCAGGGUCUCGAACCGGAUUAGAUACCCGGGUAGUCCUGGCCGUAAACAAUGUCUGCUAGGUGUGGCUCCCGCUACGAGCGGGUGCUGUGCCGCAGGGAAGCCGCUAAGCAGACCGCCUGGGAAGUACGUCCGCAAGGAUGAAACUUAAAGGAUUGGGGGGGAAAACAAAAA